Long non-coding RNA from Ictalurus punctatus (channel catfish), 484 nucleotides. Lineage: Eukaryota; Metazoa; Chordata; Actinopteri; Siluriformes; Ictaluridae. The record is from Ensembl.
CCGGCUCAGAAGCUGCUGAAACUUAUUCUGUGAUCAGCUCAGUACCCUUACCGUCCCUGCCUUUAGACACCAGUGGAGACAUAAAAGUGUAUUCUAAGAUAACAGUGGUCGACACGUAUCAUGUGUACAGCUCCAUCCCUGACACACACGUGACCACCAAUGACGCAGUGUACAGCCUGCUGCAGAUGCACUGAUUAUUCUUAUGCCUGUUAUGCCUUAACAUGUGCUUUAAUUGAAUAGCUUGCUUUUGGAUUUGAAAUGAAUUGGACUUCUGCUGGCUUGUAACUGCAAUGUCACUGAAUGGAGCCUAGUUUGGGGUGAAAAUUGCGGCCUUAUCUCUUAAAGUGAUGUAAAGGGGUGUAAUGACUUAAAGGUGAUGUUUAUUCAUGCAUGCUGUCACUUCUUCUAUCUCUAGAUUUAUAUAAAAUAUAAAACGUUUCAUUAAAAUGCGCAUUAAGCCGAUCACGUGACCAGUCCGCGUUUC